Molecule: ribosomal RNA, 253 nt
Filed under: uncultured bacterium
Lineage: Bacteria
Description: partial 16S ribosomal RNA
Rfam family: Bacterial small subunit ribosomal RNA
Source: RNAcentral
UACGAAGGGUGCAAACGUUGCUCGGAAUUAUUGGGCGUAAAGCGCACGUAGGCGGCUUGGCAAGUCGGAUGUGAAAUCCCUCGGCUCAACCAAGGAAGUGCAUCCGAAACUGCUGAGCUUGAGUACUUAAGAGGAUCGCGGAAUUCCCGGUGUAGAGGUGAAAUGCGUAGAGAUCCGGAGGAACCCCAGAGGCGAAGGCGGCGCCCUGGCUCGCAACUGACGCUCAGACACGACAGCAUGGGGAGCGAACGGG